AUGGAGAUGGAGGCCAGCCGCGUCGGUUGGAUCCCAUCCCGUCCACCCCCCUUUCUCAGCGGGGCGUGGCACUCCAGGGACCUCGUGGCUGCGGUGGCCCUUGAAGAUGGCGAGGACAAGUAUGAGUGUGUGUUGAAGGCCAAUGGCAAUCUGGAAAAGCAAGUUCAGUCCUUGGAGGAGAAGUACACCAGCGCGACACGGGCGAAUGGCAAGCAGGAGGAGGAGGUUCUGUUCCUCAAGGAGAAGUAUGAGGCUGUGCUUGAGAGGAACACCAGGCUGGAGCAGCAGGUGGCUGCUCUGUCCACUUCUUUCCUGUCUCUCAAGGCGGUAGCCAGCACCGGCAACUCCGGCGUAGGCGCGCGGCUUGCAGCAGCAGUAUGUGGCGAUCGUUCCUGGCUCGAUCUCAGCCCGUACUCUCCCAGCUCGGGCGACCUUCUGGAUGCAGCGCUGCCGCCGGCUGCCGCUCCCGGGGGCGCACAUCCACGUGCAUACGCCUCGGGCGCCGUUGAGAACGACGCUGCCAACUCACUGCUUUCGUCGAGGCGGCAUCUGUACGUGGUACUUGAUGAGAUGAAGACGGGGCAUGGUAUCUACAGGCUGGACGUCGAUGACCUCGACGGCGGCGACGCGGACGCGGUCACCGGCAUGUACACCGCAGGGCGGGCGUCCGAGCAAACGAUGGCGCCGCCGCCGUGUCGGCUCCCCGAGCCGCUCCUCCGGCUGGGCAACUCGUCGGUCGGUUCAACGGCAAACUUCGCAGCCGUCGGCAGCAAGAUCGUGGUCACAGGGAGAACACAUCGUGGGUAUGGUGACGUAAUAAUCACCUUGGUCUACGACACCAAGAUGGCGAGGCUGGACAUUGAGCAGCCUCCGCCGGCCAGUUUCAAGUCGUACAGUUGGCGCAAGCACGACUACCGGCACUCCGUUGCCGUGAGGAACAAGCUGUACAUGUUUGACCAAGGCUGGAUUCGGCCGCACUAUCUCUGCGAGCAGCAGGGUAUGAAGUUCGGCCAGGGCGGACACUUCACCGAAGAAGAAGACGAGACCAUGUUAGAUAUGAGAGGGCAGACUAUGGAGUGGAUCUGGAAGAAAGGCCCCUCGUUCCCCGGCCAAGAAGAGCUGUGCUUCGUCCAGCCAGUCCAGUCGCACGCGGUGCAUCCUGACGGCCGCACCAUAUUCGUCUCCUGCUUUGGUGGUAGCAAUAACGACUCCAAGCCCAAGGCCCCCUUCACCUUCUCCCUGGACACCGAGCACGGGGGCGACCUGGACACCGAGAACCAGCAGGGCGUGUCGACGCUCCGAAGAGAAUGGAGCAUGCCGUUUCAUGGCCGCGCGUACUACGACCGACAUCUAGACGCGUGGGUUGGUAUCCGAAAGGUCUCGGGAAGACCCUACCUCUGCUCUUGUGACGUCCCAAACCUCACUGAUGAUCAUGGAUACCCGCCAACCAAGCCACUGCCGGCACCGGAGUGGAGGACGUGCAAGGAGGAGCUCACUUUCCUCGCCGGUGCAUCGGGCCAUGCACUCGUCCACACUGGGCGUGGCCGGUUCUGCCUCGUCGAGGCAAAACCGGUGGUGCCGCAUGUGGGAGGCGAGCCUAAUCAGUGCAACAGGUGCACCAUGUACCACGGUAAUGAGCACCUGCUCCAUGUCACCAUGUUCUGUACUAAGCAUGGCAAGGAUGGCGAGCUCAUGAUCGCGCCGUGCCGACCCGGCCGCUCCUACCUUGUGCCCAAUUACUGUCAGGAUGCAGCUGAAAAUCCCCCUAUUGCAUUCUGGAUGUGA
Molecule: ribosomal RNA, 1785 nt
Filed under: Triticum aestivum (bread wheat)
Lineage: Eukaryota; Viridiplantae; Streptophyta; Magnoliopsida; Poales; Poaceae
Description: partial small subunit ribosomal RNA
Source: RNAcentral